RNAcentral lists this ribosomal RNA (515 nucleotides) under uncultured bacterium. Its description in RNAcentral is "partial 16S ribosomal RNA". It matches the Rfam family "Bacterial small subunit ribosomal RNA", at positions 28 to 523 of the family's 1533-position model. The record is from RNAcentral.
GAUGAACGCUGGCGGCGUGCCUAAUACAUGCAAGUCGUGCGAAUGGAUUAAGAGCUUGCUCUUAUGAAGUUAGCGGCGGACGGGUGAGUAACACGUGGGUAACCUGCCCAUAAGACUGGGAUAACUCCGGGAAACCGGGGCUAAUACCGGAUAACAUUUUGAACCGCAUGGGUCGAAAUUGAAGGGCGGCUUCGGCUGUCACUUAUGGAUGGACCCGCGUCGCAUUAGCUAGUUGGUGAGGUAACGGCUCACCAAAGCAACGAUGCGUAGCCGACCUGAGAGGGUGAACGGCCACAGUGGGACUGAGACACGGCCCAGACUCCUACGGGAGGCAGCAGUAGGGAAUCUUCCGCAAUGGACGAAAGUCUGACGGAGCAACGCCGGGUGAGUGAUGAAGGCUUUCGGGUCGUAAAACUCUGUUGUUAGGGAAGAACAAGCGCUAGUUGAAUAAGCUGGCACCUUGACGGUACCUAACCAGAAAGCCACGGCUAACUACGUGCCAGCCGCCGCAGUAA